UUUGAGGUUGUUCAAGUAAUAAAUAAAAACAAUUGAAUAAGGUUGUGCUUAUUGUUAAAUAUGGUCAUUUUUUUUAUAAAAAUGUUUCUAAUUUAACUAUAUAAUAUUUAUCACAAAUGAAAAUAUAAAGAAAUAAACUCCCCAAAAAACACUAAAACUAAAACCAAAACCAAAGUGAUGUUAUAUUAAAAGUGGUUUAAUUUAUGUUUCAUGUGAAGGAAGUUUUUGAUGUUUGGUGGCCAUCUAAUAUGAUGAAUAGGAAAUUAUGAAAAAAGGUCAUGAAGUUUUUAAAUAAUUUUAAAUCAGACCAAUCUAAUGAAGAAAAUUUUCACAAAUAUCGUGAAAGCAAAAUACUGCAAAUAUUUAAUGUCAUUACAUUUAAAUUUAGACCCAGAAUCAUUGUGAACUGGAACUCAAUACCCUCAAAUCUAACCAGGAUAUUUAUUCAUAUAAAUUUUGAAUACAUGAAAUUCAUAACUUUUUAUUCUAGUAAAACUAUAAUAUGAAUAUACAUCAUUCCACUAUACUCUUUGACAGAAAAAUCAAAUCUCGCUCUUUGCUAUUUUUCAAUUGGUUUAUUUCAAAGAUUCACAUUCUAAUAACAUGAUUUGUUUUGUUCAUUUUUUCAAAAGGUCAGUAGUUAAUAGCUAAGAAAUUUGUGUGCAUGACCUAUACCUAAGAAAAUACUUAUUUUAUAAUUUAUCAUUCCAAAAACUUUAGACAACUGUAACCUAAAUAUAAUAAACCUAAAAUUAAAAAAAACAAGCAAAACUACAGAGAAGAAAUGCAAAGGAUCAGUGUAAUUAUUCUAGAUCAGAGUAUUAACACAUCAUUUGGAUAUAAAUUUAUAAAUAUAUAUGUUUAUAUAUAUAUAUAUAUAUAUAUAUAUAUAUAUUAACUUUAUUGUCACAGUUAUUACUGAUUGGAUAGGUUUUAUGUCUUAACAUAAAAACAACAUUUAAAAAACAAGCACAAUUUGUAGAAUUUUCAGCUUAAAAAACUCAUUGUAAAUGCUACACAUUGAAUUUAAAUUUACAUUCAUAUAAAUUAGUGCAAUGAAUAUCAUAAUUUUAGGGUGUUGCUAUUGUCAUUACCACCAUAGUUUUUGCUGUUACCAUUACAACCUGCCAUCCACCACAUGUUAUCAUAGUUUUUGCUAAUGCCACCACAAGCUACCUUAAACUUGUAAUGCAUAUUACAAUGAAUGAAACGUACAUUUGUUAUAGAUGUAUAUUUUAGUGAUUCAUAAAAUGCAUUUAGGUGUGCAAUGCAAAUUUAGAACAGCUUGUGGUGGCAUUAGCAUAAACUAUCAUAACAUUAACAACACCCUAAAUUUUUUGUUAGAUUAUAUAUAUAUAUAUAUAUAUAUAUAUAUAUACAUAUACAUAAUUAAUUAAAAGCCUCAAUCUAAUAAUAAUAUAUAUAUAUAUAUAUAUAUAUAUAUAUAUAUUCCAACUUCAUGUUAUGCUUUACAGUUAUAAUUCAACACCAAAUGAAUAUUUAUUUAUUUAUUUAUUUACAAACCAUGUUAUUCAAAUAAUGUAUUUUGGUUGACUACUUGGAUUAUUAAUACUUCAAUAUAUGUAAAUAUUAAGAGAGAAGUGCUUGUGUUUCAUGUAAAGGCUUCCAAGUCAUUUUAUUUCAUAGACAUCAUAUUUAAGUCAAUACAUAUUUUCGAUUUUCAUUAGAAUUAUACACUGUUUGGUAAAUAAAUUAGGAUGUUAUUGCAAAUAUACUGAUUUACCAACACUGCUGAAAUGUUGAAGUUUCUGACUGAGUUUCAAAUUUUCCCCAACACUCAAAUAACAAUAACAUAACAAACGUCACCAAAUCUAUGAAUAAAAAUCUUUCAAAUCUUGCUAAAAAACAUCUCCUAUAUCUUCUCUUUACAAAAAUAUAAUAUCAAAACUCAUUUCAUAGCCAUAUCUAUGAAAAAAUCUCCCUUAAUACUAAUUCAAUCUUUAAAAAUAAACUUUCUUCAAAAUGUCUACAGAUUAUUAGUUUCAUAUUUAGAUAAUUAUCACAUGCAGCUCACCUAUUCUAAUAUUAUAAUUUCCUAUUACACACAUAUAUAAAAAUUUCAUCCAAUAUUCAUAGAAAAUUCCACACACACACAUAAA
Molecule: long non-coding RNA, 2120 nt
Filed under: Physcomitrium patens
Lineage: Eukaryota; Viridiplantae; Streptophyta; Bryopsida; Funariales; Funariaceae
Description: long non-coding RNA (PPAT_LNC004678)
Source: RNAcentral